This 674-nucleotide ribosomal RNA is filed under the name uncultured bacterium. RNAcentral's name for it is "bacterial SSU rRNA". It matches the Rfam family "Bacterial small subunit ribosomal RNA", at positions 8 to 692 of the family's 1533-position model. The record is from RNAcentral.
AGAGUUUGAUCCUGGCUCAGGACGAACGCUGGCGGUGUGCUUCACACAUGCAAGUCGAGCGAAUGAAGUAGGUAGCUUGCUACUUAUGGAUUUAGCGGCGGACGGGUGAGUAAUAUAUAGGAAUCUGCCCUAGAGCGGGGAACAACAGACCGAAAGGUUUGCUAAUGCCCCAUAGGUACGCAGUCUUCGGAUUGUUUAUUAAAGGAGUAAUCCACUCUAGGAUGAGCCUGUAUCCGAUUAGCUAGUUGGCGGGGUAAAGGCCCACCAAGGCUACGAUCGGUAGUUGGUCUGAGAGGAUGAUCAGCCACAAUGGGACUGAGACACGGCCCAUACUCCUACGGGAGGCAGCAGUGGGGAAUUUUACACAAUGGGGGAAACCCUGAUGUAGCGACACCGCGUGAACGAAGAAGCCUUUUGGGGUGUAAAGUUCUGUCGGCUGGAACGAAAAAAAUGACGGUACCAGCAAAGGAAGCAUCGGCUAACUACGUGCCAGCAGCCGCGGUAAGACGUAGGAUGCAAGCGUUGUCCGGAUUUAUUGGGCGUAAAGAGUUCGUAGGCGGUUAUUUAAGUCUGAUGUUAAAUACUGUGGCCCAACCACAGAACUGCAUUGGAUACUGGAUGACUUGAGUGCGGUAGAGGCAAGUGGAAUUCCCAGUGUAGCGGUGAAAUGCGUA